GCCGGGCGUGGUGGCGGGCGCCUCUAGUCCCAGCUACUUGGGAGGCUGAGGCAGGAGAAUCGCUUGAACUCAGGAGGCAGAGGUUGCAGUGAGCUGAGAUUGCACCACUGCACUCCCGCCUGGGUGACAGAGCGAUACUCAGUCUUAA
This is an unclassified non-coding RNA of Pongo abelii (Sumatran orangutan), 148 nucleotides long. It matches the Rfam family "Metazoan signal recognition particle RNA". From Rfam's summary of the family: The signal recognition particle (SRP) is a universally conserved ribonucleoprotein. It is involved in the co-translational targeting of proteins to membranes. The record is from Ensembl. Lineage: Eukaryota; Metazoa; Chordata; Mammalia; Primates; Hominidae.